RNAcentral lists this microRNA (21 nucleotides) under Brachypodium distachyon (stiff brome). RNAcentral describes it as "bdi-miR5172-3p". Lineage: Eukaryota; Viridiplantae; Streptophyta; Magnoliopsida; Poales; Poaceae. The record is from miRBase by way of RNAcentral.
UGAUCUACUAGCUCCUCGGCA